GAUGAACGCUAGCUACAGGCUUAACACAUGCAAGUCGAGGGGCAGCAUGGACUCAGCUUUGCUGAGUUUGAUGGCGACCGGCGCACGGGUGAGUAACGCGUAUCCAACCUGCCCUUUACUCCGGGAUAGUCUCCUGAAAGGGAGUUUAAUACCGGAUGUGUUUGUUUUUCCGCAUGGGAGCGACAAAUAAAGAUUAAUUGGUAAAGGAUGGGGAUGCGUCCCAUUAGCUUGUUGGCGGGGUAACGGCCCACCAAGGCAACGAUGGGUAGGGGUUCUGAGAGGAAGGUCCCCCACAUUGGAACUGAGACACGGUCCAAACUCCUACGGGAGGCAGCAGUGAGGAAUAUUGGUCAAUGGGCGAGAGCCUGAACCAGCCAAGUAGCGUGAAGGACGACGGCCCUACGGGUUGUAAACUUCUUUUAUAAGGGAAUAAAGUUCGCCACGUGUGGUGUUUUGUAUGUACCUUAUGAAUAAGCA
RNAcentral lists this ribosomal RNA (477 nucleotides) under uncultured bacterium. Its description in RNAcentral is "bacterial SSU rRNA". It matches the Rfam family "Bacterial small subunit ribosomal RNA", at positions 28 to 492 of the family's 1533-position model. The record is from RNAcentral.